GGGAGGGCAGGCUGCUAAUUCUGUCCCACUGACCUCUGAUUUACUGCCAUGAAGCUCACUUAUGUUUGUCUCAGAGGCUGUGUUUACACUCCACUAAUAACUCAACAUUACUAAUAACAAAAACUACAUUGUCCUGUGUUCUUCCCUGUCUUUCCCUUCCUUCCUUCGUGUUGCAUGUUUGUCUCCCUCUGUCUGUGUUCAGCUGACCAGUGUGCUGCUCAUCAGCCAGAGUGUCCUCACCUGCUGCUCCACCUCACCUGUUGCUCCUCUUGACGUCAGUGAAGUGGAGGCCGUGUUGAUUGACAGCAACAAUACAGGGGGCGUAGAAGGUGGUGGAGCUGCUGCUGUGGAUGUAGAAGAACGAGGAGCCGAACAUGGGGAACGCACUGAUCAGGCCUGCACAAAGACAGAAUUUAACAAGAGUGAGCGCUCACUGUCACAUUUUUAUUCUUUGGGGGAGACAGACGGACAGACGAAAUGAAAACAAUACCAGAUGGACCGGAGUGGAGGGAAUGACUGGAGCCCUCUCCUUCUUCCUCCCUCUCUAGUUCUGUCACUCUUGUUUGGAGCAUUUUCACUUUGGCAUUACUUUUGAUGAAUUACGCACCUGUAGAGUUUAAUGACUGUGUCUUUCACGUACUGACAAAAAUCUGUCCGCUGACAGACAAACACCUGAAAAAACAGAA
Molecule: long non-coding RNA, 686 nt
Organism: Acanthopagrus latus (yellowfin seabream)
Lineage: Eukaryota; Metazoa; Chordata; Actinopteri; Spariformes; Sparidae
Exons: 3
Source: RefSeq, a predicted model, not a curated record